GUCCACGCUGUAAACGAUGGGCACUAGGUGUGGGGGGUGUCGACUCCCUCCGUGCCGAAGCUAACGCAUUAAGUGCCCCGCCUGGGGAGUACGGCCGCAAGGCUAAAACUCAAAGGAAUUGACGGGGACCCGCACAAGCAGCGGAGCAUGUGGUUUAAUUCGACGCAACGCGAAGAACCUUACCUGGGCUUGACAUGUUCUUGACAGCUCUGGAAACAGAGUCUCCCUUCGGGGCAAGAUCACAGGUGGUGCAUGGCUGUCGU
This 263-nucleotide ribosomal RNA is filed under the name uncultured bacterium. RNAcentral's name for it is "partial 16S ribosomal RNA". It matches the Rfam family "Bacterial small subunit ribosomal RNA", at positions 793 to 1055 of the family's 1533-position model. The record is from RNAcentral.